AAGCGGUACGCGAGCUGGGUUCAGAACGUCGUGAGACAGUUCGGUCCCUAUCUGCCGUGGGCGCUGGAGAAUUGAGAGGAGUCGUCCCUAGUACGAGAGGACCGGGACGAACAGACCUCUGGUGUAUCAGUUGUCCUGCCAAGGGCACUGCUGGUUAGCUACGUCUGGAUGGGAUAACCGCUGAAAGCAUCUAAGCGGGAAGCCCACCUCGAGAUGAGUUCUCCCAUCCCCUCGAGGGAGUAAGAGCCCUGGAAGACCACCAGGUUGAUAGGCCGGUCGUGUAAGCGCAGCAAUGCGCUCAGCGAACCGGUACUAAUGCUUCGAGGGCUUGACGGA
Molecule: ribosomal RNA, 336 nt
Filed under: Actinomycetes bacterium
Lineage: Bacteria; Bacillati; Actinomycetota; Actinomycetes
Description: Actinobacteria bacterium partial 23S ribosomal RNA
Rfam family: Bacterial large subunit ribosomal RNA
Source: RNAcentral